CCUACGGGAGGCAGCAGUGAGGAAUAUUGGUCAAUGGGCGCAAGCCUGAACCAGCCAAGUAGCGUGAAGGAUGACUGCCCUACGGGUUGUAAACUUCUUUUAUAAAGGAAUAAAGUGAGGCACGUGUGCCUUUUUGUAUGUACUUUAUGAAUAAGGAUCGGCUAACUCCGUGCCAGCAGCCGCGGUAAUACGGAGGAUCCGAGCGUUAUCCGGAUUUAUUGGGUUUAAAGGGAGCGUAGACGGGUUGUUAAGUUAGUUGUGAAAGUUUGGGGCUCAACCCUAAAAUUGCAAUUGAUACUGGCAGUCUUGAGUGCAGUUGAGGUAGGCGGAAUUCGUGGUGUAGCGGUGAAAUGCUUAGAGAUCACGAAGAACUCCGAUUGCGAAGGCAGCUUACUAAACUGCCACUGACAUUGAUGCUCGAAAGUGUGGGUAGCAAACAGGAUUAGAUACCCGAGUAGUC
Molecule: ribosomal RNA, 460 nt
Filed under: uncultured bacterium
Lineage: Bacteria
Description: partial 16S ribosomal RNA
Rfam family: Bacterial small subunit ribosomal RNA
Source: RNAcentral